This 645-nucleotide ribosomal RNA is filed under the name Arthrobacter sp. RNAcentral describes it as "bacterial SSU rRNA". It matches the Rfam family "Bacterial small subunit ribosomal RNA", at positions 45 to 701 of the family's 1533-position model. The record is from RNAcentral. Lineage: Bacteria; Bacillati; Actinomycetota; Actinomycetes; Micrococcales; Micrococcaceae.
UGCUUAACACAUGCAAGUCGAACGAUGAUCCGGUGCUUGCACCGGGGAUUAGUGGCGAACGGGUGAGUAACACGUGAGUAACCUGCCCUUAACUCUGGGAUAAGCCUGGGAAACUGGGUCUAAUACCGGAUAUGACUGAUCAUCGCAUGGUGGUUGGUGGAAAGCUUUUUUGUGGUUUUGGAUGGACUCGCGGCCUAUCAGCUUGUUGGUGAGGUAAUGGCUUACCAAGGCGACGACGGGUAGCCGGCCUGAGAGGGUGACCGGCCACACUGGGACUGAGACACGGCCCAGACUCCUACGGGAGGCAGCAGUGGGGAAUAUUGCACAAUGGGCGCAAGCCUGAUGCAGCGACGCCGCGUGAGGGAUGACGGCCUUCGGGUUGUAAACCUCUUUCAGUAGGGAAGAAGCGAAAGUGACGGUACCUGCAGAAGAAGCGCCGGCUAACUACGUGCCAGCAGCCGCGGUAAUACGUAGGGCGCAAGCGUUAUCCGGAAUUAUUGGGCGUAAAGAGCUCGUAGGCGGUUUGUCGCGUCUGCCGUGAAAGUCCGGGGCUCAACUCCGGAUCUGCGGUGGGUACCGGCAGACUAGAGUGAUGUAGGGGAGACUGGAAUUCCUGGUGUAGCGGUGAAAUGCGCAAAUAUCAGG